AUAAAGUUUUAUUUUAGCUUAUUUAAUUAGUUUAUAUAUUUUAAAAAUGUAAUUUUUUUUAAAAAAUUUUUAAGAAGCAAUUUAAAGAUUUAUAAAUAAUAGAAAUAUUGAUUUAGAAAUUUAUAAUUAUAUUAACAUAUAUUGUGCCAGCAGUUGCGGUUAUUCAUUAAAUAUUAUUGAUUAAUUUAUAUUUAUAAAAAUUAGUAAGUUUAAAAAAAUAGUUUUAAUAAUUGAGUGAAAUUUUUAUUAAUUAUUUUUUUUUAUAUUAUUUAAUUUUUAUUAAAUUUUUUUAUUAAACUAGGAUUAGAUACCCUAUUAUUUUAAAUGUAAAUAAGUAAAUAAGUAAUUAAUAGUUAAGUUCUUUAAAGUUAAAAAAUUUGGCAGUAUUAUAAUUUUUAGAGGAACCUGUUUUAUAAUUGAUAAUCCACGAUUAAAUAUACUUAUAAUAUUAAUUUGCAUAUCGUUGUUUUUAAAUUUUUUUAGAAAAAAUAAAUGUUUAAUAUUUUAUAAUAAAAGUAAAAUCAGAUCAUGAUACAGUUUAUUUAUAAGGAAAAAUGGGUUACAUUGUAAGUUAUAUUGAAUUUUUAAUUGAAAAUUAAUUUGAAAUUGGAUUUAAAAGUAAUUUUAUUUAUUUUAAUAAAAUGAUUAAAUAUAUUAAUAUGUACAUAUUGCCCGUCGCUUUCAUUUAAAAUGAGAUAAGUCGUAACAAAGUAGUUGUACUGGAAAGUGUAGCUUGUUCAAG
Molecule: non-coding RNA, 742 nt
Filed under: Pselaphinae sp. 2 EF-2015
Lineage: Eukaryota; Metazoa; Arthropoda; Insecta; Coleoptera; Staphylinidae
Source: RNAcentral